This 332-nucleotide ribosomal RNA is filed under the name uncultured bacterium. RNAcentral's name for it is "SSU rRNA". It matches the Rfam family "Bacterial small subunit ribosomal RNA", at positions 26 to 377 of the family's 1533-position model. The record is from RNAcentral.
AGGAUGAACGCUGGCGGCGUGCCUAAUACAUGCAAGUCGAGCGGAAAGGCCUCUUCGGAGGUACUCGAGCGGCGGACGGCUGAGUAACGCGUAGGAACGUACCCCAAAGUGAGGGAUAAGCACCAGAAAUGGUGUCUAAUACCGCAUGUGAUCUAAGGAUUAAAGCUUCGGCGCUUUGGGAACGGCCUGCGUAUGAUUAGCUUGUUGGUGAGGUAAUGGCUCACCAAGGCUUUGAUCAUUAGCUGGUCUGAGAGGAUGAUCAGCCAGACUGGGACUGAGAACGGCCCAGACUCCUACGGGAGGCAGCAGUAGGGAAUUUUCCACAAUGGGCG